GGCAGGGGUGAGGGCCUGCAGCCAGGCAGCUUGGUCUUCGGUCUGCCACUUACUAGCAAUGUGACCUUGGGCAAAUUACUUCAUCUCUUUGUCCCUCAGUUUCUUCCUUUGUGAAACAUGGACAAAAAUAGUUCUUACCUCAUAGAAUUGUUGUGAGACUAAAUGAGAUAAUGCAUGCAAAGUGCUUACUGCUAGCCCAUAAUAAGUAGGGCCCCAUUGAGGGUGGCUGCUAGUAUCAUUAUCUCUAUUGUUCAAAAUUAUAAUGAAAUAGGUUGCCUAACUCGGAGAAGGGCCUUAGGCAAAUACUGGAAGCCAGAGUCCUAAUCCAAGAGGUCGGAAAGAUAAUAUAGCAGAAGCAGCCUCAUUUUCAAAAGCCAAGAGGAAAACGGAACACAUUCCUGAGCUCAUUCUCCUCUACUGCAGAAAGGCUUUGCCCACACAACAGAAAUAUGGCUCCUGGCCUCUCCAGCUAAGCAACUCCAGUAGAAAAAUUCCUUCUCGUGUUGUGUGUACAUCAGUACAAAGGGAAGGAUUCUGGCCAUUCUCCACGUAUGAUUGGGACAUCGGAUGAUUCUGGAGAGGGUUCCUGUAAGCCACAGCCCCAAAACAAACCCAUGGAAUAGGGGAAGGAAAGUUCUCCCUCAAAAAGGAUGCUGAAGAGCAAUAGUUUUUAAAAAUAUUCUUUACUACCAUUAAUCAAAUAAUAAGAGGCUUAUGGGCAGAAAUAUCAGCAGGGGAAAAUUAAGGCAGAGUAAUUGUUAGGACCACAGAACCUGGAAACAGCUUUCCUGGGUGAAUUCCAGCCUCACACUUAAGCUGUGGGACCAAAUUACAAGAUCUCUUUAAGCCUCACUUAUUUCACCUAUAAAAAGAGAGACCAAUGUUCCCUAUGUCAGUAAAUUACCAUGAGGAUUAAAUUUAUAUAAAAUGCCAAGCACAAAGUAAUGAUUAUAACGGUUGGCUAUUAGCUGCUUCUAUCACUAUAUUGCUGUUAGUAUUAAGAUCAUACAACAGGUACAUAGUAAAUGCUGGAGUCUGAACUAAAGCAAUGCCCCCUGAUGCCUGACCUAAAGUACUUCCUACUACAGUGUGAAUUAGAGCAGGUGAGCAUUGGAGAGCAGCAGGUAAAACAGUAGUGGAGGUGAGUUAAGCAGGAUUAUGCUGCUGACAUUUCUAGAUCCUUGCCAGAGGCCAAGUGUCCAGUGACCUCUUCUUUAUUUCUUACUUUAUAGUUACUAUUAUCACCCAUUUUAUAGAAUAGGAAACUGAGGCCUAGAAUGAUUAACUUGCCAGCAGGGGCACCCACCUAGGAGGCAGUGGAAGCUCUCCUUUAGGACCUUGCUGAGGCAUUCGCAGAAUAAGCAGGUUCCUUAGUGCUCUGGCUAGACAGGAUUAACGCUUGUUUCUUUUGUCAUUGCACUUGCCUAGUGGGCUGUCCAGCUCAUGGUUGGCACUCAGUCUUUUCAAAGAACAAAUGUCAACCAUGACAAUUGAUGAGGAAGAAAGCAGAAAAAUGUAGAACUCAGACUCCACCAAGAUGUAUGUUAGUUGGAAGUUAUAGAUAAGUUUCCCUCAAAUAUAUAACUGUCACUAUAGCCACUAUUUUAUGAAUUAGAUGCCUCACUUCCAGGCAAACUUGGAACUGAUUUUUGUUGCAAGAAUGAACUUAGAUCUACCUAAGACUUCACCAUUCUCAUUUUUUACAAUUCAGAAAUUUCAAAAUAAUAAGCGUAUGCUAGGUCAUCUGUAGACCUGUUUCUCUUUGUUACUCAAUCCCACAGUCUGACAGUCUGCUCUGAAUUUCUGUAGGCUGUAUCAUUCUGUACCUGCAGGAGAGCGGUGACUCAGCCUGUGGAAUAACUCCCUUUCCCUCAUUAUGACAUGUCACCUUUAUUUCAUUGCUGUGGCAUGUUUCUUGCCCUGUGGCUGAAAAACAAGGCAACCCAGUCAGGAAACCAAAGCAGAUUCUCUACUUCUGAGUCAAAGCGUGAGGUCUGCCAAUCUAGACCUGGAAGACAUGCUCUUACACCUUGCCUAAUCCUCCAAGGAAGUUGUUUUUCUCUUCUUCAACCCCAUCCCUUCCCUCCCACCAAGCCCCUAAGAAGGCAUAACCAUGGAGCUAUUUUUACCUGAAAAAUAAAUCCAGGGGACGAGAUCUUUUAGGUUGCAUUUAUCAAAACAGUGAAUGUUCAGAUUGUUGGCUUAUUUAAAAAUUAAAUAUUUGUUUCUGCAAGGAUUGAUUUAUCUGGUGUUGGUAGUACUGGGUUACACACUAGGAUUCUAUGAGUUACACACUAGGAUUCUAUGACUACAUUGCAGCUGGAUUGUCAGGCUGUCUGUGGUCAUAGAGACAGCCUGGAUAAUGAAUGAAUAGAAAUGUCAGGGCUUCGAGAUUUUCGAGCCCCCUUUCCUUAUCUGGAAAUGGGGAUUAAAAAAUAACUCCUUUUUAGGUUUGUUGUAAAUGAGAAUAUAUGUAAAGUACAUGUAAGAAGAUAUCUCUUAUCUCUAUCAAAGUAAUCUUUCCUAUUGACUUGCUGUGUAACCCUCA
Molecule: long non-coding RNA, 2548 nt
Filed under: Homo sapiens (human)
Lineage: Eukaryota; Metazoa; Chordata; Mammalia; Primates; Hominidae
Description: HSALNT0024162
Source: RNAcentral